This is a long non-coding RNA of Ipomoea nil (Japanese morning glory), 273 nucleotides long. RefSeq lists it as uncharacterized. The transcript is spliced from 3 exons. The record is from RefSeq and is a predicted model, not a curated record. NCBI's taxonomy places the organism in Eukaryota, Viridiplantae, Streptophyta, Magnoliopsida, Solanales, Convolvulaceae.
AGUUCACAUGCGCUUCCCGAGCAUUAUAGGAGAUUGAUCACAGACCCAAACUCGCCUACUAUUGAUUUUUAUCCCACUAAUUUUGAAGUGGACAUGAAUGGCAAGAGGUUUUCUUGGCAGGGCUUGCCAAAUUGCCUUUCAUUGAUGAAGCUCGGCUCCUUGCAGAGGUUGCAAAGGUUGAACAUACAUUGACGAUAAGGUUAUCUAUCCUUAUUACCCAAUUGAGCUCAAAGAGAUUAGUAUUUUAAUCGAUCAUGUAAUCAAAUUUUAAUU